This 21-nucleotide ribosomal RNA is filed under the name Maesa japonica. RNAcentral describes it as "partial 18S ribosomal RNA". Lineage: Eukaryota; Viridiplantae; Streptophyta; Magnoliopsida; Ericales; Primulaceae. The record is from RNAcentral.
UUAGAGUUUGGGGUAAAGGUU